Molecule: ribosomal RNA, 746 nt
Filed under: uncultured Planctomycetota bacterium
Lineage: Bacteria; Pseudomonadati; Planctomycetota
Description: bacterial SSU rRNA
Rfam family: Bacterial small subunit ribosomal RNA
Source: RNAcentral
GAACGAGAAAGUGUCCUUCGGGGCGCGAGUAAAGUGGCGAACGGGUGAGUAAUGCGUAAAUGACCUACCCUCAUGACGGGGAUAACAGCUCGAAAGAGCUGCUAAUACCGGAUGUGGUCGCGGGAUCGAGGUUUCGCGAUUAAAGAUGGCCUCUGUUUCAAGCUGUCGCAUGGGGAGGGGUUUACGUGCUAUUAGCUAGUUGGUGAGGUAACGGCUCACCAAGGCGAUGAUGGCUAGCCGGCCUGAGAGGGUGUCCGGCCACACUGGGACUGAGACACUGCCCAGACUCCUACGGGAGGCUGCAGUCGAGAAUCUUCCACCAAUGCGCGAAAGCGUGAUGGAGCGACGCCGCGUGUGCGAUGAAGGCCUUCGGGUUGUAAAGCACUGUCAGGUAACUCUAAUCCCGUAGGGUUAAUACCCCUUGCGGUUGAAGGGUUUCCAGAGGAAGCACCGGCUAAAUCCGUGCCAGCAGCCGCGGUAAUACGGAUGGUGCAAGCGUUAUUCGGAAUCACUGGGCAUAAAGAGCACGUAGGCGGCUGCGUAAGUCAGUGGUGAAAUCCCUCGGCUCAACCGAGGAACUGCCAUUGAUACUGCGUGGCUAGAGUGUGGGAGGGGCAGACGGAAUUCCAGGUGGAGCGGUGAAAUGCGUAGAUAUCUGGAGGAACGCCGGAGGCGAAAGCGGUCUGCUGGCCCACGACUGACGCUGAGGUGCGAAAGCUAGGGGGAGCAAACAGGAUUAGAUACCC